Molecule: ribosomal RNA, 253 nt
Filed under: uncultured bacterium
Lineage: Bacteria
Description: partial 16S ribosomal RNA
Rfam family: Bacterial small subunit ribosomal RNA
Source: RNAcentral
GCCGAAGGUGGCGAUCGUUGUUCGGAAUCACUGGGCUUAAAGCGCAUGUAGGCGGCCUGUCAAGUGUCUUGUGAAAUCCCCCGGCUCAACCGGGGAAUUGCUGGGCAAACUGAUGGGCUUGAGGCAGGUAGGGGCGAGUGGAACUCUUGGUGGAGCGGUGGAAUGCGUAGAUAUCAAGAGGAACGCCGGAGGUGAAGACGACUCGCUGGGCCUGUCCUGACGCUGAGAUGCGAAAGCCAGGGGAGAAAACGGG